This 2923-nucleotide ribosomal RNA is filed under the name Klebsiella pneumoniae. RNAcentral's name for it is "bacterial LSU rRNA". It matches the Rfam family "Bacterial large subunit ribosomal RNA". The record is from RNAcentral. Lineage: Bacteria; Pseudomonadati; Pseudomonadota; Gammaproteobacteria; Enterobacterales; Enterobacteriaceae.
GGGUUGUGAGGUUAAGCGACUAAGCGUACACGGUGGAUGCCCUGGCAGUCAGAGGCGAUGAAGGACGUGCUAAUCUGCGAAAAGCGUCGGUAAGGUGAUAUGAACCGUUAUAACCGGCGAUGUCCGAAUGGGGAAACCCAGUGCAAUUCGUUGCACUAUCGUUAACUGAAUACAUAGGUUAACGAGGCGAACCGGGGGAACUGAAACAUCUAAGUACCCCGAGGAAAAGAAAUCAACCGAGAUUCCCCCAGUAGCGGCGAGCGAACGGGGAGCAGCCCAGAGUCUGAAUCAGCUUGUGUGUUAGUGGAACGGUCUGGAAAGUCCGACGGUACAGGGUGAUAGUCCCGUACACCAAAAUGCACAGGCUGUGAACUCGAAGAGUAGGGCGGGACACGUGGUAUCCUGUCUGAAUAUGGGGGGACCAUCCUCCAAGGCUAAAUACUCCUGACUGACCGAUAGUGAACCAGUACCGUGAGGGAAAGGCGAAAAGAACCCCGGCGAGGGGAGUGAAAAAGAACCUGAAACCGUGUACGUACAAGCAGUGGGAGCACCUUCGGGUGUGACUGCGUACCUUUUGUAUAAUGGGUCAGCGACUUAUAUUCUGUAGCAAGGUUAACCGUAUAGGGGAGCCGCAGGGAAACCGAGUCUUAACUGGGCGUUAAGUUGCAGGGUAUAGACCCGAAACCCGGUGAUCUAGCCAUGGGCAGGUUGAAGGUUGGGUAACACUAACUGGAGGACCGAACCGACUAAUGUUGAAAAAUUAGCGGAUGACUUGUGGCUGGGGGUGAAAGGCCAAUCAAACCGGGAGAUAGCUGGUUCUCCCCGAAAGCUAUUUAGGUAGCGCCUCGUGAACUCAUCUUCGGGGGUAGAGCACUGUUUCGGCUAGGGGGUCAUCCCGACUUACCAACCCGAUGCAAACUACGAAUACCGAAGAAUGUUAUCACGGGAGACACACGGCGGGUGCUAACGUCCGUCGUGAAGAGGGAAACAACCCAGACCGCCAGCUAAGGUCCCAAAGUCAUGGUUAAGUGGGAAACGAUGUGGGAAGGCACAGACAGCCAGGAUGUUGGCUUAGAAGCAGCCAUCAUUUAAAGAAAGCGUAAUAGCUCACUGGUCGAGUCGGCCUGCGCGGAAGAUGUAACGGGGCUAAACCAUGCACCGAAGCUGCGGCAGCGACACUAUGUGUUGUUGGGUAGGGGAGCGUUCUGUAAGCCUGCGAAGGUGACCUGUGAGGGUUGCUGGAGGUAUCAGAAGUGCGAAUGCUGACAUAAGUAACGAUAAAGCGGGUGAAAAGCCCGCUCGCCGGAAGACCAAGGGUUCCUGUCCAACGUUAAUCGGGGCAGGGUGAGUCGACCCCUAAGGCGAGGCCGAAAGGCGUAGUCGAUGGGAAACAGGUUAAUAUUCCUGUACUUGGUGUUACUGCGAAGGGGGGACGGAGAAGGCUAUGUUAGCCGGGCGACGGUUGUCCCGGUUUAAGCAUGUAGGCUGGUUGUCCAGGCAAAUCCGGAUAAUCAAGGCUGAGGUGUGAUGACGAGGCACUACGGUGCUGAAGUAACAAAUGCCCUGCUUCCAGGAAAAGCCUCUAAGCAUCAGGUAACAUUAAAUCGUACCCCAAACCGACACAGGUGGUCAGGUAGAGAAUACCAAGGCGCUUGAGAGAACUCGGGUGAAGGAACUAGGCAAAAUGGUGCCGUAACUUCGGGAGAAGGCACGCUGGUGUGUAGGUGAAGUCCCUGCGGAUGGAGCUGAGACCAGUCGAAGAUACCAGCUGGCUGCAACUGUUUAUUAAAAACACAGCACUGUGCAAACACGAAAGUGGACGUAUACGGUGUGACGCCUGCCCGGUGCCGGAAGGUUAAUUGAUGGGGUUAUCCGUAAGGAGAAGCUCUUGAUCGAAGCCCCGGUAAACGGCGGCCGUAACUAUAACGGUCCUAAGGUAGCGAAAUUCCUUGUCGGGUAAGUUCCGACCUGCACGAAUGGCGUAAUGAUGGCCAGGCUGUCUCCACCCGAGACUCAGUGAAAUUGAACUCGCUGUGAAGAUGCAGUGUACCCGCGGCAAGACGGAAAGACCCCGUGAACCUUUACUAUAGCUUGACACUGAACAUUGAGCCUUGAUGUGUAGGAUAGGUGGGAGGCUUUGAAGCGUGGACGCCAGUCUGCGUGGAGCCAACCUUGAAAUACCACCCUUUAAUGUUUGAUGUUCUAACGUUGGCCCCUGACCGGGGUUGCGGACAGUGUCUGGUGGGUAGUUUGACUGGGGCGGUCUCCUCCCAAAGCGUAACGGAGGAGCACGAAGGUUAGCUAAUCCUGGUCGGACAUCAGGAGGUUAGUGCAAUGGCAUAAGCUAGCUUGACUGCGAGCGUGACGGCGCGAGCAGGUGCGAAAGCAGGUCAUAGUGAUCCGGUGGUUCUGAAUGGAAGGGCCAUCGCUCAACGGAUAAAAGGUACUCCGGGGAUAACAGGCUGAUACCGCCCAAGAGUUCAUAUCGACGGCGGUGUUUGGCACCUCGAUGUCGGCUCAUCACAUCCUGGGGCUGAAGUAGGUCCCAAGGGUAUGGCUGUUCGCCAUUUAAAGUGGUACGCGAGCUGGGUUUAGAACGUCGUGAGACAGUUCGGUCCCUAUCUGCCGUGGGCGCUGGAGAAUUGAGGGGGGCUGCUCCUAGUACGAGAGGACCGGAGUGGACGCAUCACUGGUGUUCGGGUUGUCAUGCCAAUGGCACUGCCCGGUAGCUAAAUGCGGAAGAGAUAAGUGCUGAAAGCAUCUAAGCACGAAACUUGCCCCGAGAUGAGUUCUCCCUGAGACUUUAAGUCUCCUGAAGGAACGUUAAAGACGAUGACGUUGAUAGGCCGGGUGUGUAAGCGCAGCGAUGCGUUGAGCUAACCGGUACUAAUGAACCGUGAGGCUUAACCUUACAACGCCGAAG